UACGUACGAGGCAAGCGUUAUCCGGAAUUACUGGGCGUAAAGCGCGCGCAGGCGGACGUUUAAGUAGGGCGUGAAAUCUCCCGGCCUAACUGGGAGGGGUCGCUCUAGACUGGGCGUCUUGAGGACUGCAGAGGUGGGUGGAAUUCCUGGUGUAGUGGUGAAAUGGCGUAGAGGAUCAGGAGGAACACCGGUGGCGAAGGCGGCCCACUGG
RNAcentral lists this ribosomal RNA (211 nucleotides) under uncultured bacterium. RNAcentral's name for it is "partial 16S ribosomal RNA". It matches the Rfam family "Bacterial small subunit ribosomal RNA", at positions 524 to 732 of the family's 1533-position model. The record is from RNAcentral.